UUGUUUUCAAAGGCCAUAUUAUUUUCAUAAUUAUGGCCUUCAAUGUUUAAUUGUAAUAUCCCUUAUAAUCCACAGUGAUUACUCGUAAAAGAGAAAUCAAUAUAGAACAAACAGUAGAUGUGGGUAAAUGUAUGUGCAUUGACUUGAACAGUCACCUGCAAAAGUUUAAAGUCAGGUUGCUCAAUGGAUUGAAUAAUCUCAGUUGGAAAGCAGCACUAAGUGUGUUCAUAUGCCCCUCACUCAUCCAGUAUACGUAAAUGUAACCAAAUGUAGUAUAUGUAACCAACACACUCUCAGACUUUAGCGCAAUAAGUUAAUAUGUUGUGUUAUGCUGUUGAGUUGAGACUGUGAAUUGAACGAUUAUUAAAAUGAGCAAGCUAGAGACAACUAUUGCAGUGUUUAUAAUUUGUGGUAAUUGCAGCAUGAUGUUGCAAAAGAACAUAAAUAAUGCUCCUCUCAAUGUUUCUAUCUAUGCCUUUCGUUCAUCUCUUAGUCUCUCUGAAAUUAAGCAGCAGAGCAUGGCACAAGCACUGCUGCUUACGUUUAUAAUGGAGUCAUCAGUGGGUUUCAGACAGAGGCAACUCCUGUCCCUUAUGCACAUAUGUUUUGGUAUUUUCAAGACUGUUCCUGUCAUACCAAAGCCAAGGCUCACUGGCCCCUCAUGGUAUUGAAGCUUGCUCACCAAUUACUCAGAGUGGAUGAUACAUUUUCUGGAUUUUGUCAGGUGCCAUCUGUCUUGCCCUAAUCAUGGUAUGAAAGGUCACAGCAAAUUUAAUAACAAGCUGCUCAAGAAUGUGUCCCAGCUAGUGUCGCAACAUACCCCCUGGGUUCAUUCUUAAGACUGGGAAAACAUGGGGAAGGCAGGAAAUGGAAAUUCAAGACGAUGAGCAAACCGAGAACAAGAUGAAAGCAGGAGCCAACAUUUCAACAAGUGGACUUGUCUUCUUCAAGGCGACAUAUGCUUUCCUCGCCACAGUUACAGAUAUUAAGAAUCAAUUU
This is a long non-coding RNA of Dermacentor andersoni, 999 nucleotides long. RefSeq lists it as uncharacterized. The record is from RefSeq and is a predicted model, not a curated record. Lineage: Eukaryota; Metazoa; Arthropoda; Arachnida; Ixodida; Ixodidae.